AUAAAAAAUAUCUGUAGACAUGUGAUUUUUGACCCUCCCAAGAUUUUUCAUAUUUUAGCACGUAAAUAUUUAAUUUAGGCCUAAUAUAUCUAUUUCAACUAAUUUUGACUCUUUUACUUUAUUUUAUUACAAAAAAACGAAAAUUACAAAAAAUUAGUUUCAUUAAGGUUUUGUAGUCAUUUUUAAUCUUGAAAAAAUACCAAAAAAUAGUUUUGUUUUAACGGGCAGUCUUAUUUUAAUAAUUAUUUUUAAUUAAGUAGGGUUAGUUAAUAUUUUUUGUAAUAUUUCUAUAUGGAUAGAUUUUUAGUUAAUUAAGCUAACUUUAAGAAAAACUAGUCAUAAAGGCCCAUAAUUCCCAAGCCCAUAAUUCCUAGGCCCAUACCCCUUAACCUAGAAAACCCUACAAAUACCUAGACCCCUAAAGCGAAGAGGAGGAGCUGAAAAAGAUGAAGAAAAGAUCUGAAGCGCCGUAGAUCAGGACCUUUCCCCCUUUUUGUGAGCGUCUUCUUCAACGAAGAGAUCACCAAACGACCCCCAUACUUCAUCUUCUUCGUUACCCUCACACAAACGACCACCUCUCACGUCGAACACACAACAACCAUCGACUCUGAAUCUUCACCAACCAAAACAAUCUUCACCCAACCUCCUCAUAACACCAGCGACUCAACCAAGCUCGCCGGAAAACAACCCAUAACAUCAGCGACAUCCUUCAACAGCCUUCAACGACCAAACACACACAUGGAUAGAGCAGCAACAAGAGGUCACUAAAACGGAGUGAGAGAUAGACGGAGGAAAAGCGAGGCAGUACGGUUAAAGUUCGGUGAUGUUCUGUCGAGGUUGUCGUUCGAAGUGACUAUCGCGUUUCGUUGUUGGGUUUUGUCUUCGUUAAUCAACUUUAAAGGAUUUUGAUAGUGAGGUCAAUUCUUAUAAAUUCUCUUUCUGAUUUUACUGCUCUUACAUGUCCAUCCAUGGCUUAGUUGAAAUAAAUUGGUCUAGUCUUGUUUAUCUCGCUAUUUACCUCUCGUUUCUUCUAGUUUAUCGCUUGAUUUAAUAAUAUGAAUCUGAAAUUACAUGUUUUGAAUACUAUAUUUGUUGUUGAUUAUUUGGACGCUUGAAUCUCGUCAUCUAGUUGGGAAUGAUUGGGUGAUAAUUCUUGUUUGUUGGUUAAUAAGGAAUUGGAGUAUGAUAAAUUAGUGAUAUGAAAUUUAAGAACUGGGCCGUGGGUUUGGAGUAAAGACUUGGAUCAUUUAGUGUUAAUUUGCUUAUUUAGGAGUUGAGGUUGGUUUAGAUACAUGAAAUAAAUAAAUAACAAAAACUGAGCGUGCGUUGAAUUUUUCCUACUUGAUUCUCUUUUACUUUUGCUCUUGCUUUUACUUAAUCACUCGUUAGUAACAUGAUUAGGCCAUUAAUGUUCAUAAACAUCGUAGCUUGAUUUUGACACGCAGUAAAACCAUCAUAACUACGGGUACGGUUCCCGUAGCGUAGUUGUGAUACCUAAUUAGUUUUUAAAUAUGAAUAUCCAUAGUUCAUAUAGUUGAAUAGUUUUGAGGCUUACCAUUCAUACAUUUGAAUCAUAUAAUCCAUGGUCCUCGUAUCAAUUAUCUUAACUAGUGUAAAAUAAAAUGUCUUGAAUUUUCGUAGUCGGCUUUAGGCGCGUUAAUUAAAUAAAUUGUCAUAGCUACGGGUACGGUUCCCGUGACGUAGUUGUGAUGCCUAAUUUCUAAAUCCGGGUGUACACUAAUGUGACCCUGCCACAAUUUAAUCUUUUUAAAUAAAAUAAAUACGUUGUGAAUCGUGGGUACGAUUCCCGUGACAUUAUUCAUAAACGUGUAAUCAAUAAUUAGUGGUAUAACAAUUGGAUUAUUAAAAGUGGUUUAAAAGGAAUAAAAUGCACAUAGGUUUCAAGAGUGUAUUAAAAUCAGAUAAUAGGGCAAUUAUAACAGUUGAGCGACCAUGCUAGAACCACAAAACCCGGGAAUGCCUAACACCUUCUCCCGGGUUAACAGAAUUCCUUACCCAGAUUUCUGUGUUCGCGGACUGUAAUACAGAGUCAAUCUUUUUCUCGAUUUGGGAUUUGAACCGGUGACUAGGGACACCAUAAUUAUCCCAAGUGGAGACUCUGAAUUUUAAUAAAAAUGAUCCCGUUUCGAUUGUCACUUUAAGUUGAAAAAAACUCCCUUAUACCCACCUUACGGGGGUAGGAAAAAGGAGGUGUGACAGCUCUGGCGACUCUGCUGGGGAUGGAACCCAGAAUUUCUGAUUUAGGGUUCAAGAAUUUGAGCUUAGAAUAAUCAUUAUAUUUGGCUUUAUUUAUUAUCUGAUUUUAUUUAUAUAUUUGGGCCUAAUGUGCUAAAUGUUGCAUUUUACUACCUUGAUAUUAUCUGAAUUGUAUAUAUAAACUGCUACGAAACCCCUCUCUUCUCUCUCCUGAGGAGUGCACGCUGGCGUGACUUCUAUCUGUUAGUGUCAUAUUCCAAAUAGAACGAGGUUCGGAUAAGUUGCAAAGCUGGAUGAUCUUUUGGUUACCGGUGCGCAACCCCCCUUCUCUUGGCUCGAGUUGUCCGCUCGGGUAAGCCAGGUCUAGAACAAUAAACUUAGGUUCUAAACCUAGUAUAACAAUGUCUCAUGCCGGAACCCUAGUAGGAACGCUUAUCUGCAUCAUGUGCAUUUGACUUUGAAGACUCAACACAGGGGUUGGGUCUGUCUAGGACAGGUGCACCCAAAAUAAUAGACCAUCUUGAUGUAUCCUAUGUGCUACAUGUUGCAUUUAUUCAAGGGUAAAAGGGUCAUUUGGUGGACCAAUGAUAGUUGAGGGCAAAUGAAAAAUGAAAAAAAAAAGAAAAGCAGAGGGUGAAGUGUGAAGAUAAAGCGAGUAGGGCCCAAUUAUGCUUCCUCUCACAUUUUGUUAAGGAAAAAAGAGCUUGAAAAUUCAAAAAAAAAACAAAAGAAAAAAAAAAGAUUUUGCACUUUUUCAUCAUUCUCCGUAAAUAAGAAAAUCAAAAAAAAAGAAAAAAUCAAAAAAAAAGGUUACAUGUCUCAUCAUUUUUCAAAAAAGACAAAAAAAUAUGUUUUCUCUAAAUUAGUUGUUUUUUUUAUUUCUCGCCCGUAUCCAAUCUGCCCGAAAUACGCAUACUUGAUUCUCGUCUUUCGGGGCAUGAUACGUAGGCAACCCACAUAGGGUCCGAUCUUCCUAGUGAAUCUUAGGUUCUUGGCUUUACGAGGUCUUAGCCAAUGCUUGCAUUUUUAGCCACAUAGGUUAAUUUUAGAAAAAUAACCGCAACCAUGUCUUGCAUGUGUCUAGUAGGGAAUGUUAUUGUCUCACAUAGUGUUGGUUUAAGUUUUCCCAUACUUCUACUUACCGGAGUUUGAGCAUGACAGAUACCCCAGGAUCACUGCAUUCAGGAGCUGCUCUAGGAGCCAUUUUAAUAUCUUUGAG
This 3436-nucleotide long non-coding RNA is filed under the name Nicotiana tabacum (common tobacco). Its description in RNAcentral is "long non-coding RNA (NTAB_LNC001372)". The record is from RNAcentral. Lineage: Eukaryota; Viridiplantae; Streptophyta; Magnoliopsida; Solanales; Solanaceae.